This 75-nucleotide transfer RNA is filed under the name Desulfuromonas sp. RNAcentral describes it as "tRNA-Gly". It matches the Rfam family "tRNA". From Rfam's summary of the family: Transfer RNA (tRNA) molecules are approximately 80 nucleotides in length. Their secondary structure includes four short double-helical elements and three loops (D, anti-codon, and T loops). Further hydrogen bonds mediate the characteristic L-shaped molecular structure. tRNAs have two regions of fundamental functional importance: the anti-codon, which is responsible for specific mRNA codon recognition, and the 3' end, to which the tRNAs corresponding amino acid is attached (by aminoacyl-tRNA synthetases). tRNAs cope with the degeneracy of the genetic code in two manners: having more than one tRNA (with a specific anti-codon) for a particular amino acid; and 'wobble' base-pairing, i.e. permitting non-standard base-pairing at the 3rd anti-codon position. RNAcentral also lists the same sequence under 5 other names. Lineage: Bacteria; Pseudomonadati; Thermodesulfobacteriota; Desulfuromonadia; Desulfuromonadales; Desulfuromonadaceae. The record is from RNAcentral.
GCGGGAAUAACUCAGUGGUAGAGUGUCAGCUUCCCAAGCUGAAGGUCGCGGGUUCGAGUCCCGUUUCCCGCUCCA